Molecule: long non-coding RNA, 517 nt
Organism: Aegilops tauschii subsp. strangulata
Lineage: Eukaryota; Viridiplantae; Streptophyta; Magnoliopsida; Poales; Poaceae
Source: RefSeq, a predicted model, not a curated record
CAUAUACAAGCAUGCAUCCACAUGCAGUCGUUCCCAGAACGAUCCAAGUUAACACCAAAGAUGUUGAAGCCGGCGGCAUCAUCUUCCUCGUCGGUCCUGUGCUGGGCUGUCAUCGCCGCUGCACUGAUCAUGUGUGCGGCCAACGUUGAGCUUGUCCAUGGAGGUGGAAGGCCAGUGCCGAGACCUCCGGCUCCGGUAGGGCAUGUGGCUCCCAAGGAGCACUGCCCUGACUGCAGCGACAACCCACCACCGUCGCCCCCGCUUCCUCCUACUCCUCCGGCAGCCACAGCGGACGUACCUCCUGCUGCCAGCCAUAUGUAAUGUAUGCUUGCCGUGCUUCCGCGUUGCACAGCAGGCCGCUGUAGACAUUUCAAGGUUUACUUCAGUCCGUUUGACUUAUCCCAGUGGUACUAGUUCUUUUUCUUUUUGAGGCGACACUGGUACUAGUUGUAUCGCAUGGAUAUGUUUGUUUGUUCGGUUUUGCUAUGUCUCAAUCGACGAUUCUAUUGAGUGUAAA